This 429-nucleotide ribosomal RNA is filed under the name Bacteroidota bacterium. RNAcentral describes it as "Bacteroidetes bacterium partial 16S ribosomal RNA". It matches the Rfam family "Bacterial small subunit ribosomal RNA", at positions 355 to 776 of the family's 1533-position model. The record is from RNAcentral. Lineage: Bacteria; Pseudomonadati; Bacteroidota.
UAGGGAAUCUUCGGCAAUGGGGGGAACCCUGACCGAGCAACGCCGCGUGAGUGAAGAAGGUUUUCGGAUCGUAAAGCUCUGUUGUUAAGGAAGAACGAGUGUGAGAAUGGAAAGUUCAUACUGUGACGGUACUUAACCAGAAAGGGACGGCUAACUACGUGCCAGCAGCCGCGGUAAUACGUAGGUCCCGAGCGUUGUCCGGAUUUAUUGGGCGUAAAGCGAGCGCAGGCGGUUAGAUAAGUCUGAAGUUAAAGGCAGUGGCUCAACCAUUGUAGGCUUUGGAAACUGUUUAACUUGAGUGCAGAAGGGGAGAGUGAAAUUCCAUGUGUAGCGGUGAAAUGCGUAGAUAUAUGGAGGAACACCGUUGGCGAAAGCGGCUCUCUGGUCUGUAACUGACGCGGAGGCUCGAAAGCGUGGGGAGCGAACAGG